Molecule: ribosomal RNA, 253 nt
Filed under: uncultured bacterium
Lineage: Bacteria
Description: partial 16S ribosomal RNA
Rfam family: Bacterial small subunit ribosomal RNA
Source: RNAcentral
UACGGAGGGUGCAAGCGUUAUCCGGAUUUAUUGGGUUUAAAGGGUCCGUAGGCGGGCUGAUAAGUCAGUGGUGAAAUCUCAUAGCUUAACUAUGAAACUGCCAUUGAUACUGUUGGUCUUGAGUAUAGUUGAGGUAGCUGGAAUAAGUAGUGUAGCGGUGAAAUGCAUAGAUAUUACUUAGAACACCAAUUGCGAAGGCAGGUUACCAAGUUAUAACUGACGCUGAGGGACGAAAGCGUGGGGAGCGAACGGG